RNAcentral lists this ribosomal RNA (253 nucleotides) under uncultured bacterium. Its description in RNAcentral is "partial 16S ribosomal RNA". It matches the Rfam family "Bacterial small subunit ribosomal RNA", at positions 524 to 776 of the family's 1533-position model. The record is from RNAcentral.
UACGUAGGGCGCAAGCGUUGUCCGGAAUUACUGGGCGUAAAGAGCUCGUAGGUGGUUUGUCGCGUUGUUCGUGAAAACUCACAACUCAAUUGUGGGCGUGCGGGCGAUACGGGCAGACUGGAGUACUGCAGGGGAGACUGGAAUUCCUGGUGUAGCGGUGGAAUGCGCAGAUAUCAGGAGGAACACCGGUGGCGAAGGCGGGUCUCUGGGCAGUAACUGACGCUGAGGAGCGAAAGCGUGGGGAGCGAACAGG